CCGCGGAACUCCGGUGUCCGCAACGCACGUCUGCGUCUGCCUCCCUGCUGCCUAAUGGCGGACGUCCCGCGCGGACGUCCGCCGUUGUGGAUGCUCUAACAUGUAGAUACACUCUACAUUUCAUUCCAUUAAAAUUGACAUUUUUUUUAAUCAAAAUUCAUACUGAUAAACAUUUUUAAAAACUUUUCUGAUUUCACAUGAGGUCCAAAAACAAUGGCAAAUGUGCAUUGGGUCAAAUUUAUCCAAUCCAUGAUAACAAGCCCGAACAAACGGUCCGAAUUCAAGGCCCAUUCAAAAUACAAUAAUUUUUUUCUUUUUCCAACUCGAGCUAUUGCAUUACACUACGUAAUCGGAUUUCCAGCGCCGUCGCUAGAGAAUUAAAGUAAUCGGAUUGGCCGGAGGCGCGAGGCGGCGGAGUGAUGGCCGCUAUCAAGGAGCUAACACGCGAUCUAGAGAACAAAGCCACCGAUUUCAGAAAACUUGAGAAAGAUAUUCAGAAGAACCAGCAAGUGAAAAAGAAGUACACCAUUCAGCUCGGCGAAAACGAGCUCGUGCUCAAGGAACUGGAUUUGUUGAACGAUGACACGAAUGUGUACAAAUUGAUUGGUCCGGUGCUAGUGAAGCAGGAUUUGGCUGAGGCUAAUGCCAAUGUUCGGAAGCGGAUUGAAUAUAUCUCUGCCGAAUUGAAACGCUUAGAUAGUACCCUUCAGGAUUUACAAGAAAAGCUAAGUAGCAAGCAAGAAUCGAUUGCCAAGCUACAACAAAGAAUCCAGACUCUCCAAGCUGGAAAAGCAAAGGCCUAAUAUGUACGUGCAACCCCUGUCACUUGGUUCAGUUGAACAUAGAUGUGGCCUCUUCAUAUCAAAAUUGCAGUUCAUACAUUAAUAUUUUCUUUUGUGGGGAAAGGAAUACGUGCUAGCCAUAGAAAUGCUCAAAUUUGGUAUCAAAUGAACUCUCUAGAGAUGUCACAUUUAUAGUAAGUCGCACGUUUCUCCUUCGGCCGCAGAAUAUUGUUUUUCGAAUCUUUAGAAUAUAGAAGUAUUUGAAACCUGGUAUAUUUGUCUUGUUACUAGUGAUUAUUCCAUGCCUACAUACGGUUCAUUCAUACAUGUAUAAAUUGAGUGGAGAAUUUUGUUUACUGCAGGAAAAAUAUUCUAAUGAUUACAGGUUUCUGUAAAAAUGAUGGUUUUUUUCAAAUUCAAAUGUCUGAAUUUGGACAACCAUCUUCGAUGCCAUAUUAACUGGCAAUCAGCUUAUGUAUCUGUGGGUAAGGCAGAACAUAGUGGCUGCUCUCUCAUCUCUCACUUACCACAUUCAUGAAGCAACUUCUGAAUGGAAGGCAUGAUUUUGAAGCUGGACAAUCAUGUAUAAAUUCUCAUGCAUAUAUACCAUAAUGACAUUCUUGAAUCUUGAAACUUAAGGCCCCACGUAGCACUCAGGACCGAUUAUGUGUUUGCGUACAGCUUACUUGAUAGAGAUCUUUUAGAUUUUGGUCUUGUUAGUGUGUUGCAGGUUAUUUUAUGCAGUUUUCUUUCCAGUUAUAGAUCAAAAUUUGUUAUUUGGGACAUGUUUCUGUUAAUGGCAGACAGUGUUUGUCACUGAUGGAACUCCACUUCCCGUCCGACUUGCAUGUGUUAAGCAUACCACAAGCGUUCAUCCUGAGCCAGGAUCGAACUCUCCAUGAGAUUCAUAGUAAUUACAAGAAUUGUGUGGCUUCACCAACAAUCUGAACAUGUCAUAUGCUAUUUGAAAGUUAUAGUACUUUUGUUAAUAUGAAUAUAAUCACAUGCUAUUUUAAUGGUACUAUGAUGGUGAUUUUAAAGAUGUUUGCGAAAA
Molecule: RNA transcript, 1836 nt
Organism: Salvia splendens (bonfire salvia)
Lineage: Eukaryota; Viridiplantae; Streptophyta; Magnoliopsida; Lamiales; Lamiaceae
Gene name: prefoldin subunit 6
Exons: 6
Source: RefSeq, a predicted model, not a curated record